This 470-nucleotide ribosomal RNA is filed under the name uncultured bacterium. Its description in RNAcentral is "partial 16S ribosomal RNA". It matches the Rfam family "Bacterial small subunit ribosomal RNA", at positions 28 to 507 of the family's 1533-position model. The record is from RNAcentral.
GACGAACGCUGGCGGCGUGCUUAACACAUGCAAGUCGAACGCUGAAGCACCAGCUUGCUGGUGUGGAUGAGUGGCGAACGGGUGAGUAAUACGUGAGUAACCUGCCCUUGACUCUGGGAUAAGCCCGGGAAACUGGGUCUAAUACUGGAUGCUACAUGUCACCGCAUGGUGGUGUGUGGAAAGGGUUUACUGGUCUUGGAUGGGCUCACGGCCUAUCAGCUUGUUGGUGAGGUAAUGGCUCACCAAGGCGACGACGGGUAGCCGGCCUGGGAGGGUGACCGGCCACACUGGGACUGAGACACGGCCCAGACUCCUACGGGAGGCAGCAGUGGGGAAGAUUGCACAAUGGGCGAAAGCCUGAUGCAGCGACGCCGCGUGAGGGAUGACGGCCUUCGGGUUGUAAACCUCUUUCAGCAGGGAAGAAGCCACAAGUGACGGUACCUGCAGAAGAAGCGCCGGCUAACUACGUG